CCCAUUUAAGAUGAUUAACACCCUGCGAACCUCACGCGAGACCUGAGUUCCUAGGUUGAAACCCCAAGCUCUUUCCCACUUGCUUGUGAGCAGACUAUCCAUCUCAGGAGUUACCGGAUGAAGGAUGUGCAGGUAGCCCUUUUAUUUAUCUUUGCCUUGAAAGAAAAAAAAAAACAAGCAGUUAUGUGUACAAAGCACUGUGAUGUCUCAGAUGAUUUGUAAGAACUGGCUGAAGAAGCUGGAGUCCAAGGCUGUGGACACAGGAAGGAGUAAGAGCCAAGUAUUGCUGGCAACCUCAAGAAGCUAGAAAAGGCAAGGCCAUGGAUUCCCCCCAGAGUUUCCAGAAAGGAAAACAGCCCUGCUGAUUCUUUGAUUUUAGCUUUGUGAGAACUGUGUCAGCUUUCCAACCUUCAUAAUUGUAAGAUAAUAAAUGUGUGCUCUUUAAUAAACAUAAGAUAAUAAAUGUGUGCUGUUUUAAAGCUA
Molecule: long non-coding RNA, 483 nt
Organism: Bubalus bubalis (water buffalo)
Lineage: Eukaryota; Metazoa; Chordata; Mammalia; Artiodactyla; Bovidae
Exons: 4
Source: RefSeq, a predicted model, not a curated record